ACUACUAACCAAAAUUAUGUAAAAGAUAGGAAAUUGCAGCAAAUUCCAUUCACCAUAUUUGGACACUACUAACCAAAAUACAACUUUACUGCAUAAUUUUGUAAGCCACAAAUAUAACAAAAACAGCCCAUGACCAUUAAAUAAACUUUUUUCAUUGCUUCAAUUUCAACUCCAAAUUUGAAACUUUCUCCUCCAAUGCAGCUACAUUAUUCAGAUUUCCAGCUUUACUACCCACCAUGUCAUCGACCAUC
RNAcentral lists this long non-coding RNA (251 nucleotides) under Nicotiana benthamiana. RNAcentral describes it as "long non-coding RNA (NBEN_LNC004678)". The record is from RNAcentral. Lineage: Eukaryota; Viridiplantae; Streptophyta; Magnoliopsida; Solanales; Solanaceae.